RNAcentral lists this ribosomal RNA (456 nucleotides) under uncultured bacterium. RNAcentral's name for it is "bacterial SSU rRNA". It matches the Rfam family "Bacterial small subunit ribosomal RNA", at positions 65 to 518 of the family's 1533-position model. The record is from RNAcentral.
CGAGACAUAAAGUAAGCAUACUUGGUGGCGACCGGCGCACGGUGAGUAACGCGUAUGCAACCUACCUAUCAGAGGGGAAUAACCCGGCGAAAGUCGGACUAAUACCGCAUAAAACAGGGGCACCGCAUGGUGAUAUUUGUUAAAGAAAUUCGCUGAUAGAUGGGCAUGCGUUCCAUUAGGUAGUUGGUGAGGUAACGGCUCACCAAGCCGACGAUGGAUAGGGGAACUGAGAGGUUGGUCCCCCACACUGGUACUGAGACACGGACCAGACUCCUACGGGAGGCAGCAGUGAGGAAUAUUGGUCAAUGGGCGGGAGCCUGAACCAGCCAAGUCGCCGUGAAGGAAGAAGGAUCUAUGGUUCGUAAACUUCUUUUGCAGGGGAAUAAAGUGCAGGACGUGUCCUGUUUUGUAUGUACCCUGAGAAUAAGGAUCGGCUAACUCCGUGCCAGCCGCCGC